AACCUAUUGAGCAAUGCCUGUAAAAAACUGAAAAAAGCUGAAAACUGAACAAAGCCAUCAGCCUUUGGAUCAGCAUCUGUUAAUAAGAUCAAGCGAAAUCACCAUCUUGCGUGAAACAUCUGCAAUAUAUGGCUAUGAAAGAAAACAGUGGCAUUUUGACUUAUUCGAGAAAUGGAAGUCUGGCUGGCAGCCACCUGAAGUCUUGCUGUGAAAACAUUCAUGUAUGGUUGACACUAAUAUUUUUGUUUUCCCAAUGGACAGAUUCAGAGGGUUGGGAAGUCUUAGGAAUGUUGGGAGGUAUAGUAAGAAGAACCAUGUUUUCCCCAAUUCUGUUGCAGCUGGAGCGGCUUUUCAGGAGGCAGAAGGAACUUCAGUGGGAAGCUGGAAUUAGCAAAGACCUAUUUUAUAAACUCAGCUCUGAU
Long non-coding RNA from Sphaerodactylus townsendi, 422 nucleotides. RefSeq lists it as uncharacterized. Lineage: Eukaryota; Metazoa; Chordata; Lepidosauria; Squamata; Sphaerodactylidae. The record is from RefSeq and is a predicted model, not a curated record. The transcript is spliced from 3 exons.